This is a long non-coding RNA of Mus musculus (house mouse), 587 nucleotides long. RefSeq annotates it as predicted gene, 39350. The transcript has 4 exons. The record is from RefSeq and is a predicted model, not a curated record. NCBI's taxonomy places the organism in Eukaryota, Metazoa, Chordata, Mammalia, Rodentia, Muridae.
GUGCCCUGGGACCUUGCAGAUGCCACAGGUUCUGGCUGGAGAGUGCUCAAGGGCAGGUCAAGCAGGAGGCCCCGUGUCCCCUCCACCUGGAGCCUUUGGGAUUGGGGGUGACCCUGACAUAUCAGAUGUGCCUGGUGCUUCAUAUCCCAGAAUCCAAGGAUACCCACCUCCAGCUGGUAGGCACUUUAUUCUCUAAGAAGUUUGGACCUGAUAAUUACAGUGGUGGUAAUUACAACCCACUUCUGCCUGUGCAGAGUGCUUCUGAGGAGCUGAGCGUCCUUCAUAAACACAAGCUCAUUCAUCCACCUAGCAGCCCUACAGUGCAGGACAGCCUGGGCUCCUGACUACUCACUGACAAACCCUGCAGAGAUACCAGUCGGCCAUUGCACUCUCGGAUUCAGCCUGAAGCUGACUUUCCUGACCUGAAGAAAUCAGAAAAAGAAGAACCUCGUUUAUUAUAUUUUGUUACCUGGUGUCAACGGUAGAGGACUGAGGAGAACAUGUAUGUCUUGGGAAUCAUACAGACCUUUGUUCAAAAACUCUAGCUCCUGGUCACAUUCUUGUGUUCCCAGCACUCAGCCAGGAUC